CUGAGUUAGGGUCUUCUAGGCCCGACCUCCAACCCUUUGCCUACCUUACCUCUUGUUGCUUCGGCUGGCCCGUCCCCCCUAGAAAUAGGGGUCGACCGCCGGAGGGUUUACACCCUCUGGCCCGCGCCCGCCGAUGGCCCUCAACCAAAACUCUUGUUCAAUCGUGAAUUGUCUGAGUACAAAAAACAAAAUAAACCAA
RNAcentral lists this unclassified non-coding RNA (199 nucleotides) under uncultured fungus. RNAcentral describes it as "sequence contains ITS1, 5.8S rRNA gene". The record is from RNAcentral. Lineage: Eukaryota; Fungi.